RNAcentral lists this unclassified non-coding RNA (273 nucleotides) under Ascomycota sp. RNAcentral describes it as "partial contains small subunit ribosomal RNA, internal transcribed spacer 1, and 5.8S ribosomal RNA". The stretch from base 1 to 47 matches the Rfam family "Eukaryotic small subunit ribosomal RNA", at positions 1785 to 1831 of the family's 1831-position model. The record is from RNAcentral. Lineage: Eukaryota; Fungi; Ascomycota.
AAAGUCGUAACAAGGUUUCCGUAGGUGAACCUGCGGAAGGAUCAUUAUCGAGUUAGGGUCUCUCGUAGGCCCGACCUCCAACCCUUUGUCUACCUUACCAUUUGUUGCUUCGGCGGGCCCGUCCCCCCUGCAAAAGGGGGCGACCGCCGGAGGGUUCUACACCCUCUGGCCUGCGCCCGCCGAUGGCCUUUAACCAAAUUCUUGUUGAAUCGUGUCGUCUGAGUUGAGAAAAUCAAUAACUAAAAACUUUCAACAACGGAUCUCUUGGUUCUG